GAACCGGGGGAACUGAAACAUCUAAGUACCCCGAGGAAAAGAAAUCAACCGAGAUUCCCCCAGUAGCGGCGAGCGAACGGGGAGCAGCCCAGAGCCUGAAUCAGUGUGUGUGUUAGUGGAAGCGUCUGGAAAGGCGCGCGAUACAGGGUGACAGCCCCGUACACAAAAAUGCACAUAUUGUGAGCUCGAUGAGUAGGGCGGGACACGUGGUAUCCUGUCUGAAUAUGGGGGGCCCAUCCUCCAAGGCUAAAUACUCCUGACUGACCGAUAGUGAACCAGUACCGUGAGGGAAAGGCGAAAAGAACCCCGGCGAGGGGAGUGAAAAAGAACCUGAAACCGUGUACGUACAAGCAGUGGGAGCACGCUUAGGCGUGUGACUGCGUACCUUUUGUAUAAUGGGUCAGCGACUUAUAUUCUGUAGCAAGGUUAACCGAAUAGGGGAGCCGAAGGGAAACCGAGUCUUAACUGGGCGUUAAGUUGCAGGGUAUAGACCCGAAACCCGGUGAUCUAGCCAUGGGCAGGUUGAAGGUUGGGUAACACUAACUGGAGGACCGAACCGACUAAUGUUGAAAAAUUAGCGGAUGACUUGUGGCUGGGGGUGAAAGGCCAAUCAAACCGGGAGAUAGCUGGUUCUCCCCGAAAGCUAUUUAGGUAGCGCCUCGUGAAUUCAUCUCCGGGGGUAGAGCACUGUUUCGGCAAGGGGGUCAUCCCGACUUACCAACCCGAUGCAAACUGCGAAUACCGGAGAAUGUUAUCACGGGAGACACACGGCGGGUGCUAACGUCCGUCGUGAAGAGGGAAACAACCCAGACCGCCAGCUAAGGUCCCAAAGUCAUGGUUAAGUGGGAAACGAUGUGGGAAGGCCCAGACAGCCAGGAUGUUGGCUUAGAAGCAGCCAUCAUUUAAAGAAAGCGUAAUAGCUCACUGGUCGAGUCGGCCUGCGCGGAAGAUGUAACGGGGCUAAACCAU
Molecule: ribosomal RNA, 969 nt
Filed under: Shigella sonnei
Lineage: Bacteria; Pseudomonadati; Pseudomonadota; Gammaproteobacteria; Enterobacterales; Enterobacteriaceae
Description: partial 23S ribosomal RNA
Rfam family: Bacterial large subunit ribosomal RNA
Source: RNAcentral